GGAGUUAGCCGGUGCUUCUUCUGCGAGUAACGUCACAGAUGUAAGGUAUUAACUUACACCCUUUCCUCCUCGCUGAAAGUGCUUUACAACCCGAAGGCCUUCUUCACACACGCGGCAUGGCUGCAUCAGGGUUUCCCCCAUUGUGCAAUAUUCCCCACUGCUGCCUCCCGUAGGAGUCUGGGCCGUGUCUCAGUCCCAGUGUGGCUGAUCAUCCUCUCAGACCAGCUAGGGAUCGUCGCCUAGGUGAGCCUUUACCUCACCUACUAGCUAAUCCCACCUGGGCUUAUCCAUCAGCGCAAGGCCCGAAGGUCCCCUGCUUUCCCCCGUAGGGCGUAUGCGGUAUUAGCAGUCGUUUCCAACUGUUAUCCCCCACAAAUGGGCAAAUUCCCAGGCAUUACUCACCCGUCCGCCGCUCGUCAUCUUCAAAGCAAGCUUUUGAAUGUUACCGCUCGACUUGCAUGUGUUAGGCCUGCCGCCAGCGUUCAAUCUGAGCCAUAAUCAAACUCUGA
This 509-nucleotide ribosomal RNA is filed under the name uncultured bacterium. Its description in RNAcentral is "partial 16S ribosomal RNA". The record is from RNAcentral.